RNAcentral lists this ribosomal RNA (253 nucleotides) under uncultured bacterium. Its description in RNAcentral is "partial 16S ribosomal RNA". It matches the Rfam family "Bacterial small subunit ribosomal RNA", at positions 524 to 776 of the family's 1533-position model. The record is from RNAcentral.
CACGUAGGGCGCAAGCGUUGUCCGGAAUUAUUGGGCGUAAAGAGCUCGUAGGUGGUUUGUUACGUCUGCUGUGAAAACCUAGGGCUUAACCCUGGGCUUGCAGUGGAUACGGGCAGACUAGAGGUAGGUAGGGGAGAAUGGAAUUUCCGGUGGAGCGGUGAAAUGCGUAGAGAUCGGAAAGAACACCAACGGCGAAAGCACUCUGCUGGGCCGACACUGACACUGAGAGACGAAAGCCAGGGGAGCAAACGGG